UACGUAGGGUGCAAGCGUUAAUCGGAAUUACUGGGCGUAAAGCGUGCGCAGGCGGUGAUGUAAGACAGGUGUGAAAUCCCCGGGCUUAACCUGGGAACUGCAUUUGUGACUGCAUCGCUGGAGUGCGGCAGAGGGGGGUGGAAUUCCGCGUGUAGCAGUGAAAUGCGUAGAGAUGCGGAGGAACACCGAUGGCGAAGGCAGCCCCCUGGGCCAACACUGACGCUCAGGCACGAAAGCGUGGGGAGCAAACAGG
This 253-nucleotide ribosomal RNA is filed under the name uncultured bacterium. Its description in RNAcentral is "partial 16S ribosomal RNA". It matches the Rfam family "Bacterial small subunit ribosomal RNA", at positions 524 to 776 of the family's 1533-position model. The record is from RNAcentral.